This 1760-nucleotide long non-coding RNA is filed under the name Homo sapiens (human). RNAcentral describes it as "HSALNT0367603". The record is from RNAcentral. Lineage: Eukaryota; Metazoa; Chordata; Mammalia; Primates; Hominidae.
GAAUAUAUAAGAACUCUCAAAAUUCAGCAAUAGGAAAACAACCCAAUUUUUUUAAAUGGGCAAAAGAUGUGAACAGAUGCUUCACCAAAGAAGAUAAUGAACAAGCUAAUCAUCUCGAGAAGUUUUCUAAUGCCCCUUGGCAAUCCUUUCUAAAAACUCUUCCUCCUGCACAUAUCUGGGCAACCACUGAUCUUUCUAUCAGUGUAGACUACUUUGCAAUUUCUAGCCUUUUAUAAAAUAGAAUCAUAUAAUACAUACUUUUUCUUGCCUUGCUUUUUUUACCCAGCAUAAUUAUUUUUAGAUUCAUUCACAUUUUUGCAUAUACCUAUGAUUCAUUUCUUUUUAUUCCUAAGUAGUAUUUCACUGCGGCUGUACCACAAUUUGCUCAUGAUUUAUCUGUUGAUGGACAUUUGGGUGUUUCCAGUUUUAGGCUAUGACAAAUAAAGCUGGUAUGAAUAUUCCUGUACCAGUCUUUAUAUGAAUACACAUUUUCACUUAUCUGGAGCAAGUACUUACAGUGGAAUGGAUGGAUCAUACACCUGAUAUAUGAUUCAUCCAUUCCAUUAUAAUUUUGAAAUAUUUGCAGUUUAUUGUAUAAGAGUUAUGUCUCAAGAGCUGCUAAAAUAUUAAAAUAAUGAAUCCUGCCCCUCAAAAUCUUAAAUUAAUAGAUUGACAUAUUUUUACACAUAUGAAAAUCUGUGUAACACCACCUGGAUACAAAUAUAGAGUUUGAGGUGCCCCAGAAACUUGCUCAUGCUUUUUUCUAGUCAAUUCAUAUGCCGCAGUCAGUAAUCAUUCCUACUUUUCCAGUUCUUGAGCUUUAUAUAAAGGGAAUUACAUGAUAUGUGCUCAUCUUCCUUUUAUAUGUGUAUCAGCAGUUUGCUGUUUUCCAUUGUAUUUUAUUAUAUUUAUUCAUUUUACUGUAGAUGGGCAUUUGAGUUGUUUUCAGGUUUUUGGCUAUUUUGAGUAAGGCUGCUAUGAAUAUUCUUGUAUAUAUCAUUUGGUACACAAUAGCACUCCUUUCCUUGAAGUUCAACCACUGGGUCAUAGAGUGGGAAUUUGUCUAGCCUUAGCAGAUAUUGACAUGUAGCAUUUGGAAGUGUAACUAUUUACAUGCCCAGUAAUUCUUCUUGCUGUAUAUCAUUUCCAAUUCUUGGAGUUUUAAAAUUUAUCUUUUUAUCUUAGCAAUUAUUACAGUGCCGUCAAACGGUGUUUUUAAUUUUUAUUUCUCUAUUAGGUAAUGAUGCCAAACAUCUAUUAAUAUGCUUAUUGGCAAUUGUGGAUAUCUUCUUUUGUGUUCAAGUAUAUCAACAUUUUAAAAUUUGGGCUGUAUAUAUUCUUCUUCAUAAUGUAAAAGAGUUUUAUGGCAUGUAUCAGCAGUUUGUUCAUUGGUAUAGCUGAAUAAUAAUUCCAUUGAAAUAGUAUAUCAAAACUUAUCCAACAAUAUAUUUUUACUAUUCAGUAAAAUCUAUUCCAUACUGAUUAAUACAACAUUAAUCUUAUCAUUUUGUAUCUAUGAUUAUUUCCCUGUCACACAUCUAAUGCUGUGUAUUUGUGCUUUUUCCUUUUAUUCUUGAUAUUAGCUAAUAAUCUGUUUUUGGCUUCCUUGAUUUUAAGAAUUGAUCUUUGAUAUGUAUUUUAAUGUUAUUAUUUUUCUCUUUUCUUAUUUAUUGUUUUCUAUCCUUAUCCCAUAAAUUUCGCACAUUUAUUUUUCUUGGUUGUACUGUAUUUUGUUUUUCAUCUCUUAAUUUCAUUCAUUC